Molecule: non-coding RNA, 180 nt
Filed under: Callithrix jacchus (white-tufted-ear marmoset)
Lineage: Eukaryota; Metazoa; Chordata; Mammalia; Primates; Cebidae
Description: bip internal ribosome entry site (IRES)
Rfam family: bip internal ribosome entry site (IRES)
About the family: This family represents the bip internal ribosome entry site (IRES). BiP protein expression has been found to be significantly enhanced by the heat shock response due to IRES-dependent translation.
Source: Rfam by way of RNAcentral
UGGCGGCUGAGACAGCACAGACAGAAAGACUGAUUGGGCUGUUUGGCAAGAGUGAGAGGUGGGUAGCCACGCUGCACUCCUGUGCUGCGGAACUGUGGCUGGACUGUGGGCGAUACCCUGCCCGCUGCUGCCUGACUGGCUGGCAAGAUGAAGCUCUCCCUGGUGGCCGCGAUGCUGCUG